Molecule: ribosomal RNA, 335 nt
Filed under: uncultured Bacillota bacterium
Lineage: Bacteria; Bacillati; Bacillota
Description: bacterial SSU rRNA
Rfam family: Bacterial small subunit ribosomal RNA
Source: RNAcentral
GACGAACGCUGGCGGCGUGCCUAAUACAUGCAAGUCGAGCGAAUGAUGAAGAAGCUUGCUUCUUCUGAUUUAGCGGCGGACGGGUGAGUAACACGUGGGCAACCUACCUAGUAGAUUGGGAUAACUCCGGGAAACCGGGGCUAAUACCGAAUAAUCCAUUUUGUCACAUGGCAAAAUGCUGAAAGGCGGUUUCGGCUGUCACUACUAGAUGGGCCCGCGGUGCAUUAGCUAGUUGGUGGGGUAACGGCCUACCAAGGCAACGAUGCAUAGCCGACCUGAGAGGGUGAUCGGCCACAUUGGGACUGAGACACGGCCCAAACUCCUACGGGAGGCUG